Molecule: non-coding RNA, 266 nt
Organism: Peromyscus maniculatus bairdii (prairie deer mouse)
Lineage: Eukaryota; Metazoa; Chordata; Mammalia; Rodentia; Cricetidae
Source: RefSeq, a predicted model, not a curated record
GCUGUGUCUCGUGAUCCCAGUGCCUGGCCUCUCAAGUGACUGCUACCAUCUAACCUUUCCUAAGAGCCAGCCGUGUGUGGGUGCAGACACACGGGAAUCCAGUCUUUUGCAGGAGUCUGUGGACAUUUUUGGACCAGAAGACAUAUGGCUGCCGAGAGAGGAUGAAUCAGAAAGCAGAAUGCAUGUCUUUAAAGCCAAGCCUUCUUUAAGUGUUGAGUUUAAAAAAAAAGUCAGAGUUCAAAAUAGCAACAGAUUGUAAAAUUGUA